UUCAACAUCAAUGGACUUUGUUCAUAAAUAAUAUACUUGAAAGAUCAAGAAAAAAUAACAGAAAAUUAAAUCAUGAUAAUUUACAUGAAGCGAAUCAUUAUUUAAUAUUUCCGAUGGCGAUUUAUAUAAUUUCAUUCAAAAUAAAAUAUAUAAAUUCACGAUUGAGAAUUAUGAAAUAUUUCACAUUGUAAUUAUUGAAAAAAUGGUAUGGUAAUGACACUUUCGGCAGAAAUCGAAAAAGGAUAUCGAUUAAAUCGAGAUCGGUUAACACGAGUUUAUAAUGAUAGCUAAUACAAGAACGAGACGAAGCGCUUUACACCAUGGACACAGUUGCACUAACAGCCGUAGUCAGAUACGCAAUACGUAAUAUGCACCGUGUAAUGCCCCAAAUCGAAUGCGAGCAGGAGCAGUAGGCCGUUUAGUCAAGUAACGCGAGUUUCUAAGCGGGAGAUUAUUCUUUUUCCUUGUGACUUAUAUUUAGCUUGUUUCCGCGCGACACUCACGCGUUACCGAAACAUGGUGUGCACGUGUGUUCAAUGUGCGUUUGCAUAUACUGUCGCGUCAUAUAGAAGAAAUGCUGGUAUUAUUAUAUUUUUGAUUUACUCAAUCGUUAACAAGAAUGAGAAACAAUAAGAUUGUUAACAAGUAAAAUAAAAAGAAUGUCGACAUUCGAUUAUUCCUUAUGUAAAAAUUCGUAUUCAUUUAGUCGAAGCAAUCAAAUAGUGAGAAUGAUUCCGUAUUAUUGAUACUGGUACUACAUAACCUAUACUAUCAUUAAUCCAUAUUUUUAUUUUUCUUGAAUUAUUAUUCCUUUAUCAUAUCUUUAUUUAUUUAUGUAUUUAAUUUAUAAAAAAAUAUCAAAGAAUAUUAAUAAUGAUUAUUAUUAUUAUUAUUAUUAAUAAAUAUUUUAACACUGACUUAUCGUAUGUCUUACGAUAAACGGACGAAUAAUUAGAAAUAUUACUUUCUUAUAUAACAUGUUGAGAUUAUAAUUGUUAAUAAUGCAA
Molecule: long non-coding RNA, 1007 nt
Organism: Apis mellifera (honey bee)
Lineage: Eukaryota; Metazoa; Arthropoda; Insecta; Hymenoptera; Apidae
Exons: 2
Source: RefSeq, a predicted model, not a curated record